Long non-coding RNA from Leopardus geoffroyi (Geoffroy's cat), 1608 nucleotides. RefSeq lists it as uncharacterized. The transcript has 2 exons. The record is from RefSeq and is a predicted model, not a curated record. Lineage: Eukaryota; Metazoa; Chordata; Mammalia; Carnivora; Felidae.
CCCUGUCUCUCUGCCCCUCCCCUGCUCACACUCUGUCUCUCUUGCUCUCAACAAUAAACGGACAUUAAAAAAAAUUUUUUAAACAGGACAUGUGCUCUCCACUUUGCCACAGUCUCUACCACUCCUUAUCAUGUUAUGCAGGACCCAUAUAUUAUUCACUUCCAUUGCCUUCUCAGCCCCUCUACACAUUGGCAUCUUAGGUCUAUUUUAGGAAUUCUGUGGCUAAAAAGGUAGACCACAAUCAAGCUUGACUUUCAGGCUAAGGAAUUUGGUCUUCAUUCUAUAGGAAAUAGAGAGCCAUUAAUUUUUUAGUAGGGUAGCCAAGGCUUAAAGCAACUCUUUCAAAAAUGAUUCUGACUUUUAUUUGAAACUAAGGAUGAGGAGGGGAGAAUGGAGGCAGGGGGCUGGUGAAGGGGUAACCUUAAAUUUCAUUGUCUCAGGAAAUGGAAGCUGGGCCUAGGCUGUGAAAUGAGUGGGUCUGGCCUACAUGGCCUCCAGACAUGCAGUUAAGAACAGGAUUGGGAGCCUUGGGCAGUGCAAGGACAAGUAGAAAGCCAAAUCUGGACUGGAAAUGCAUGGUCAUCAGUGAGGUGAAGCUAACUGGCCUAGAGCCUAGAGGGACUUUUUGAAGCAGAGACUCAAGGCCCUUAAAUAAGGGCCUACAAGCAGGAAGGGAACCAUCAGAGCUGGUUCUGGCCAGGCAGGCAAAGGUAAUACCAAGGUGGUGGUUGUGGGAAUGGAAAUAGCUGGAGAGAUGUAAAAGCCAUUUAGAAGGAAGAUCCAGUGAUACUGGUAGCUACUAGGAAAGGGGGUCUUAAGGAGGAAUAAAAAAAAAAUGAUUCUAAGACUCCUAACUUGGGAGCCAAAGAAGAUAGUGGUGAGGUGGAAGAAGAAAUUUUUGAGUAUAUGAAAUAUGAGGUGCCAUCAGGAUGCCCAGUAGGCACUGGAAGGACUGACGUUUAGAGAGGUGUAGGCUGAAAGUAAUACUAGGGUAUCAUCUUGCACAAAGAUGAGAGAUGAAGAUAGAGAAAAGGAAGACGGAGGGAGAGAAGGAGAGUAAAGAGUAAAUCUUAGGGUGAAUUUAAAUUUAGGAUGUCCAUGAAAGUACCACAAAUGGUCUGAUAUGGAGGAAGAGAAACAUUUAGCUCCAUGCUGGUUAAGGAGCAAGGGGCAAGGCCAUAGUGUUGUCACAACCUUUAAAGACCACAGCAAAUGAGGACCAAGAAACAGAAGCAGAGCCAAAGUAGUAUUUUCUAGAAAGAGGAUCUCCACAUUCAUUCAUUCAACAAGUAUUUAUUGAGAACCUAGCUUUUAUCCAGGCCCUGAACAAACGGAGGUGGGCCAAACAGAGACCCUAUGCUGAUGGAACUUACAUCCUGCUGGAGAAGACAGACAUUACACAAAGACUGAUCGUGGUCAGUUACCAAGAGAAACAAAGCAGGAUCCCUGUGGAAUAGCUGUUGAUUUUAGAGAAGGGUGAAUUUGUCAAUGUUGAAAGACGACCCACUUGGGAAGAAAACUUGAUUUUCUGUUUCCAGUGUAUGACAGAAAAAUGUUGACCUCUCCAGACCUCAAGGAUAUAUGUAAAACAGAGAGCUUUUUACCUCA